UUUUUUUUCAGAGAAAAGUAA
Non-coding RNA from Caenorhabditis elegans, 21 nucleotides. The record is from Ensembl. NCBI's taxonomy places the organism in Eukaryota, Metazoa, Nematoda, Chromadorea, Rhabditida, Rhabditidae.